GACGUAGGAUGCAAGCGUUGUCCGGAUUUAUUGGGCGUAAAGAGUUCGUAGGUGGUUUGUUAAGUUUGGUGUUAAAGAUUGGGGCUCAACCCUGAAACUGCACUGAAUACUGGCAGACUCGAGUGUGGUAGAGGCUAGUGGAAUUCCCAGUGUAGCGGUGAAAUGCGUAGAUAUUGGGAAGAACACCGGUGGCGUAGGCGACUAGCUGGGCCAUAACUGACACUGAGGAACGAAAGCCAGGGGAGCGAAUGGGAUUAGAUACCCCAGUAGUCCUGGCCGUAAACGAUGGAUACUAGGCGUAUCGGGUAUCGACCCCUGAUGUGCCGCAGCUAACGCGAUAAGUAUCCCGCCUGAGUAGUACGGCCGCAAGGUUG
This 374-nucleotide ribosomal RNA is filed under the name uncultured bacterium. RNAcentral's name for it is "bacterial SSU rRNA". It matches the Rfam family "Bacterial small subunit ribosomal RNA", at positions 524 to 896 of the family's 1533-position model. The record is from RNAcentral.